This 377-nucleotide ribosomal RNA is filed under the name uncultured bacterium. RNAcentral describes it as "bacterial SSU rRNA". It matches the Rfam family "Bacterial small subunit ribosomal RNA", at positions 355 to 724 of the family's 1533-position model. The record is from RNAcentral.
UGGGGAAUAUUGGACAAUGGGGGCAACCCUGAUCCAGCAAUGCCGCGUGUGUGAAGAAGGCCUUCGGGUUGUAAAGCACUUUUAUCGGGAACGAAACAUUGUCGGCCAAUACCCGGCAAGACUGACGGUACCCGAGGAAUAAGCACCGGCUAACUCCGUGCCAGCAGCCGCGGUAAUACGGAGGGUGCAAGCGUUAAUCGGAAUUACUGGGCGUAAAGCGUGCGCAGGCGGUUUGUGAAGUCUGCUGUGAAAUCCCCGAGCUCAACUUGGGAAUUGCAGCGGAGACUGGCAAGCUGGAGUACGGUAGAGGAAGGUGGAAUUACCGGGGUAGCAGUGAAAUGCGUAGAGAUCGAGAGGAACUCCAGUGGCGAAGGCGG